UUUUGGAGAGCUGGACAUGUGGAGGCCGACAGGAAGGUGAAGAAGUCAUCUGCGUGCUGUGAGGGUGGCGCACCCCAACUCCAUGGGGACAGAAGGUCCUGCAUUUAGGACCCUUCCAGACCUCACACCUAUGUAUCUCUUCAUCUGGCUGAUUACUUAUAUCCUUUCAAAGACGCUUCUUAGUAAACUGUGCCUCCCUCACAUGGCCAGCGGAGAAGGGCCUUGCCCUACCUCUCAGACUGCAGCCCUGAGCCACUCCUUGGAGGUGAGGAGCACCAUUCACCUGAGCAGCUCCCCGCCCUGGUGUCUGAGAAAUAAAUCUGCCUUCAGUCAUACGGUUCUACCAAUCUGAGCACACGACCACCUGAUAGGGUACUGAGGAUGGCUUCUGACCUGGAGGCAUCAAGGACCUGAAGGCAGUAACCAUUUCAGAGGACAGCCACAUCCCUCAAAUUACAAACAUCUAAAAUGUCCAUUAACUGUUGAGUGGAUAUAUAAAUUCUGAUGUUUUAUAAAAUGGCAUACCCUACAUCAAUGAAGAUGAAUGAAUUACUUCUGCAUAAAACAAUAUACAUGCAUCUAACCAAUAUGACACUGAGUGAAAAAAGACAUCCAUAGAAGAGCACAGCUCACCAUUCAGGAGAGAAGAAAUUCAAAUGAAAAUGUUAUGAAAAUAUCCAAAGACUAAAAAUCCACUGCUAUCACUGAAUCUAGGAUGAAUGCUUUUUGGAGCUAUCAAUUUGUGAAAAUUGUAAGAUAACUUAUUUUAUUAAAGAUCAUUUUUA
Molecule: long non-coding RNA, 785 nt
Filed under: Homo sapiens (human)
Lineage: Eukaryota; Metazoa; Chordata; Mammalia; Primates; Hominidae
Description: HSALNT0325099
Source: RNAcentral